AAAAGAAGGACGUGGUGCAGCCUGGAGACAAGGUAUUCGUGAAGGUGUUUAGGAGGAAGUGGUUUAACGAACGCCGUGAGGGACCAUUUGAAGUUGUUCGCAGCACUGGAACUACGGUACAGGUUAAAGGGUCCCCGACGUGGUAUCACUUGUCGCAUUGUGUUAAAGCACCAAAGGGAGAGGAACCACGAUUACAGAGCAGAGAUGAUGAGGACUCAAGAGUACCAGGAGAAUCUGCUGAAGAAGCAGUGGUACAUGAGGACCUCCAAGGUCACACUCCAGAAGGAGAAGUGGAUGUUUUUGAUGAUUUUGAGCAUACUUUUGAUGAUGCCGGAGAUGACUUUUCAGUCAAUGGACAGGAAAGGAGAUUUGAGGACGUUGAUUUACAACACGUCCCAGAAACAGCAGAAUCUGUUUCUCAAGAAUGUGAGUCAAAGACUCCAGAGGGCUGUGCCGCCUCUCCAGGAGGGUCAGCGGAACCACUUGGAUCGAGGAGCCCAAGGCCAGUCCGGAGAAAAGUUAGACCAAGACGUUAUGAGGACUAGGAUUGAAGCGACCCUGAGGAAGUCUGUUCGGCUUCCAUGUCAGUGUAUUGAGGGAUAUCAAGUUCAGUGGGAAGAUAAUCAUGGUAAAAUUCUCGAUUUGUCAGAUACAUCACCCUCAGGAAAGUUUGUGUUUAAUAAUGACCCCAAGAGGUUGAAGAUGGGAGGAGACUGUAGUAUUUAUCUACGUAGAUUUCAGUUAGAGGAUCAAGGUGAUUAUAGAUGUUCUCACCAUGAAUCACAGGAGCAUGGUGUGCAGUUAAAGUUGGGGGCUAGUGUGGUGACUUUAGUGGAGAUAAAUGAGAGUAGGAAUAAAGAAUCCCAAGUUGUUAAAGAACCACAAAUGGUGCCAACUCUUUUGCCAAAAGUUAACAAAGUUAAACAGACAUCUACUUCUUUGGUUCCGAAGGUUGCUGAUGCAUUACAUUUAACCACAGUUGUGUCUACUCCAGUUACUACUUUGGUUACUACUAUGGUAGGGGAGAGUGUGACAAAACCGAAGGUAACAACAUCUACAUUGCGAUUAGAGCCCGCAAAGAUGACACCGAUACCUGUUGCUAUAUCUAUGACGCCUACGACAUUGAAGGAUGUAGUGGAUGUGAAGCAAAAGUCCCUGAUAGAGUUGAAGGAUGAAUUGUCUAAUAAUAGUAAGCAAGUGGACAGUCGAGAACCAAUUGUUGAGAACGAUGAUGUAGAUUCAUUGCAGACAGUUCAGAUGAACGUAUCAGAGGUACAUAAUGAUGGUUGGACAUCGGAAGAUGGGACUGAGGCUUUGCGUACAUUACGGAAGAGAGACACUAACUGGAAGGCGUAUGGUUUUGAUUCCUCAGUGAUGAAAAUUGCAGACCCAUGGGCAAGUAGGAAUUUGUGGUUUCAGCAGGUGACCCAUUCUGUGAGAUCUAUUAGUAGGCUAAAUUGUCCAUGUCUGG
Molecule: long non-coding RNA, 1471 nt
Organism: Amphiprion ocellaris (clown anemonefish)
Lineage: Eukaryota; Metazoa; Chordata; Actinopteri; Pomacentridae
Source: Ensembl